This 486-nucleotide ribosomal RNA is filed under the name uncultured bacterium. Its description in RNAcentral is "partial 16S ribosomal RNA". It matches the Rfam family "Bacterial small subunit ribosomal RNA", at positions 28 to 507 of the family's 1533-position model. The record is from RNAcentral.
GAUGAACGCUGGCGGCGUGCCUAAUACAUGCAAGUCGAACGCUGGAGAUCUAGCUUGCUAGAUCGAAGGAGUGGCGAACGGGUGAGUAAUACAUAAGCAACCUACCCACGAAGACUGAGAUAAUCUCUGGAAACGGGGACUAAUACCGGAUAGGUAAUCGGAAGGCAUCUUCUGGUUAUUAAAGGUUAAAAACACUGGUGGAUGGGCUUAUGGCGCAUUAGUUAGUUGGUGAGGUAACGGCCCACCAAGACGAUGAUGCGUAGCCGGCCUGAGAGGGUGAACGGCCACGUUGGGACUGAGACACGGCCCAGACUCCUACGGGAGGCAGCAGUAGGGAAUUUUCGGCAAUGGGGGCAACCCUGACCGAGCAACGCCGCGUGAGUGAAGACGGCCUUCGGGUUGUAAAGCUCUGUUGUAAGGGAAGAACGGUAGAUAGAGAAUAUCUAAGUGACGGUACCUUACCAGAAAGCCACGGCUAACUACGUG